RNAcentral lists this ribosomal RNA (497 nucleotides) under uncultured bacterium. Its description in RNAcentral is "partial 16S ribosomal RNA". It matches the Rfam family "Bacterial small subunit ribosomal RNA", at positions 28 to 507 of the family's 1533-position model. The record is from RNAcentral.
GAUGAACGCUGGCGGCGUGCCUAAUACAUGCAAGUCGAGCGAACAGAUGAGGAGCUUGCUCCUCUGACGUUAGCGGCGGACGGGUGAGUAACACGUGGAUAACCUACCUAUAAGACUGGGAUAACUUCGGGAAACCGGAGCUAAUACCGGAUAAUAUAUUGAACCGCAUGGUUCAAUAGUGAAAGACGGUUUUGCUGUCACUUAUAGAUGGAUCCGCGCCGCAUUAGCUAGUUGGUAAGGUAACGGCUUACCAAGGCAACGAUGCGUAGCCGACCUGAGAGGGUGAUCGGCCACACUGGAACUGAGACACGGUCCAGACUCCUACGGGAGGCAGCAGUAGGGAAUCUUCCGCAGUGGGCGAAAGCCUGACGGAGCAACGCCGCGUGAGUGAUGAAGGUCUUCGGAUCGUAAAACUCUGUUAUUAGGGAAGAACAAAUGUGUGAGUAACUAUGCACGUCUUGACGGUACCUAAUCAGAAAGCCACGGCUAACUACGUG